GACGAACGCUGGCGGCGUGCUUAACACAUGCAAGUCGGGCGGAAAGGCCCUUUCGGGGGUACUCGAGCGGCGAACGGGUGAGUAACACGUGAGUAAUCUGCCCCUGGCUUUGGGAUAGCCACCGGAAACGGUGAUUAAUACCGGAUACGACCACUUCUCGCAUGGGAUGGGGGUGGAAAGUUUUUCGGCCAGGGAUGUGCUCGCGGCCUAUCAGCUUGAUGGUGAGGUAAUGGCUCACCAUGGCUUCGACGGGUAGCCGGCCUGAGAGGGUGACCGGUCACACUGGGACUGAGACACGGCCCAGACUCCUACGGGAGGCAGCAGUGGGGAAUAUUGGACAAUGGGCGGAAGCCUGAUCCAGCAACGCCGCGUGAGGGAUGACGGCCUUCGGGUUGUAAACCUCUUUCAGCAGGGACGAAGCGCAAGUGACGGUACCUGCAGAAGAAGCACCGGCCAACUACGUGCCAGCCGCCGCGGUAA
This 480-nucleotide ribosomal RNA is filed under the name uncultured bacterium. RNAcentral describes it as "partial 16S ribosomal RNA". It matches the Rfam family "Bacterial small subunit ribosomal RNA", at positions 28 to 523 of the family's 1533-position model. The record is from RNAcentral.